GUGUGCGGGCAGUGGGAGCAGAGAGCAGAGUCUCGUUUAUUCCUAGGUUUUAGUGAAACACAGGACACCACGGUUCUUGCCCCUCCCGCAGCCCCCUCAGGGGAUCUUCCUGACCCAGGGAUCGAACCGGGAUCUCCUGCAUGGGAGGCAGAUUCUUUAACACUGAGCCGCCUGAGAAGGCUGGAACUGAAGAUUAACUGCACAUCAAACAGACAAGGUCUGACGCUGGCCAGGCACCCAAUGACCGAUCUGAAGAUGACUGUCAGAGCUGACUGUGCUGUUUCUGCAUGUAGCCCCCUCCUUCUGUCUGUAAAAGCUGUGACCCUCUGGUUGCCAGUGGGGGGAGAGUCAACCCUCAGACAGAUGUCCACCACCCUCCCCUCCACCAGCUGCCAGCAUCUGAAAUAAAGCAAACUUUUCUUCCCAUGAACCCAGCCUGCUGAUUGGCUUUUGAGCGACAAGCAGCCAGACCUCACCAC
This is a long non-coding RNA of Bos taurus (domestic cattle), 479 nucleotides long. The record is from Ensembl. NCBI's taxonomy places the organism in Eukaryota, Metazoa, Chordata, Mammalia, Artiodactyla, Bovidae.